UCACUUCGGCAGUGUAUAUACUAAAAUUGGAAUGAUACAGAGAAGAUUAGCAUGGCCCUUGUGCAAGAUGACACACAAAUCUGUGAACCAUUCCAUUUUUUU
This is a small nuclear RNA of Lepus europaeus (European hare), 102 nucleotides long. Lineage: Eukaryota; Metazoa; Chordata; Mammalia; Lagomorpha; Leporidae. The record is from RefSeq and is a predicted model, not a curated record.